This 322-nucleotide long non-coding RNA is filed under the name Coturnix japonica (Japanese quail). RNAcentral's name for it is "lncRNA (ENSCJPG00005019515.1)". The record is from RNAcentral. Lineage: Eukaryota; Metazoa; Chordata; Aves; Galliformes; Phasianidae.
GGAGCAUAUUUAAAUUGCAUGAGAACUAAAAUAUUGGAUACCUGACCUGCUCUAGGAUUACAAAAAUCCACAUUCCUGUUACAUGACAGAGGUCAGAAUUUACUGGCAUCAAUGGCAGCUGCUGCAGAGAGCAAAGCACUGAGGCAGGGCUUGAUGGCAGCGGGGCUGCUCCCGCACCGCACUUCCCGGGUGGUGAUGAUGUGUGAAAUAGUGUCCUCUGCUGCACGAACCGACACAGUGCGCCUACUCUGAGUUGCCCCGCAGGAAGACAGACUGGAGGAGGAAAGCUUGAACAACAAUAAAUCCUGAUCUAAAGGUAACA